UACAGAGGGGGCGAGCGUUGUUCGGAAUUACUGGGCGUAAAGGGCGCGUAGGCGGCCAACUAAGUCAGACGUGAAAUCUCUCGGCUCAACCGGGGAACUGCGUCUGAUACUGGAUGGCUUGAAUUCGGGAGAGGGAUGCGGAAUUCCAGGUGUAGCGGUGAAAUGCGUAGAUAUCUGGAGGAACACCGGUGGCGAAGGCGGCAUCCUGGACCGAGAUUGACGCUGAUGCGCGAAAGCCAGGGGAGCAAACGGG
RNAcentral lists this ribosomal RNA (253 nucleotides) under uncultured bacterium. RNAcentral's name for it is "partial 16S ribosomal RNA". It matches the Rfam family "Bacterial small subunit ribosomal RNA", at positions 524 to 776 of the family's 1533-position model. The record is from RNAcentral.